RNAcentral lists this long non-coding RNA (663 nucleotides) under Danio rerio (zebrafish). Its description in RNAcentral is "si:dkey-11f5.6 (ENSDARG00000105510.2)". Lineage: Eukaryota; Metazoa; Chordata; Actinopteri; Cypriniformes; Danionidae. The record is from RNAcentral.
CUGCUAUGGAAGUAAAUGGUUACAGGUGUACAGCAUUUUUCAAAAUAUCUUCUUUUGUGUUCAACGGAAGAUAGAAAGCCAAACAGGUUUGAAACAAGUGAAAGUCACCGUUUGGUUCAGCUUAGCUGUCAAAACCGACCUUUAUAGACUACAUCGUUAGUCCGGACUGCUGAACUAAUCACUGGCACUACCCUUCCUACACUUUAAGAACUGUACUCUUCCAGAGUGAGUAAAAGGGCUCGCAAAAUCACUCUGGACGCCUCGCACCCAGCACACUACCUGUUCGAACUGUUACAAUCUGGUCGGCGCUACAGAGCACCAAGCAUAAAAACAGCCAGACACAGGACAAGUUUCUUUCCUCAGGCCAUCUACCUCAUGAACAGUUAAAUAUUCCCCUACUAUGUCUUAAAAAGGUCUUAAAAGGUAUUAAAUUUCCUGUUAAAAAAUGUGUAGAUACCCUGAAUAAACAUGUGCAAUACUUUCUCACAUGCGAUUGUACACAGCACCUUAUAACCUGUAUAUUUAUAACAAAUCUGUACACACAACUCAACAUCCAGAUCUUUUGGUCGAACUGCAUCUCUGUUUAAUGUUUGUCAUCUUUUUUUCAUAUUUAUUUUGUGUUGUCACUUGUCACUUCAAGUACACUGGAAGCUUCUGUAGCCA